CCUUCCCUCUCCCUUCCCGUCAUUUGUUUCGCUGUACGCGCACCUCACCUCUGUUUCUAGUUCUAAUAUCAAGUGAAAUACUUCGGCACCUCGACUCAUGCCCAUAUGAUCAGAUCGCCCGCUGUACCUCAUUUUUCUUUGUUCUACUAUGUAAGAUGCUCGCAAUAGCACUCUCAUCACGUGAUGGGCUUUAAUUGAAUGCCCGAAAAAUAUUAAGCAAAAUGUCCCGCCGCUGUAACUCACAUUUGUAAAUGAACUAGUGAAUAGUCGCUCUGGUCCCGCCUAACAUUUAAUGCCCC
RNAcentral lists this long non-coding RNA (299 nucleotides) under Carica papaya (papaya). RNAcentral describes it as "long non-coding RNA (CPAP_LNC001545)". The record is from RNAcentral. Lineage: Eukaryota; Viridiplantae; Streptophyta; Magnoliopsida; Brassicales; Caricaceae.